AUUGUUUUGACAGAAAAAUGUAAUAAAUUUAGAAUUUAUUUAUGUAAUUAGUUUAUAAUUGCAAACAAUA
This 70-nucleotide transfer RNA is filed under the name Brachycerus muricatus. RNAcentral's name for it is "tRNA-Leu". Lineage: Eukaryota; Metazoa; Arthropoda; Insecta; Coleoptera; Brachyceridae. The record is from RNAcentral.